Molecule: ribosomal RNA, 483 nt
Filed under: uncultured bacterium
Lineage: Bacteria
Description: partial 16S ribosomal RNA
Rfam family: Bacterial small subunit ribosomal RNA
Source: RNAcentral
GACGAACGCUGGCGGCGUGCUUUACACAUGCAAGUCGAACGGUGAAGGUGGAGCUUGCUCCGCCGGAUCAGUGGCGAACGGGUGAGUAACACGUGGGCAACCUGCCCCUAACUUUGGGAUAACUACUCGAAAGAGUAGCUAAUACCGGAUACGAAGUCUGUAGGCAUCUACGGAUUUGGAAAGUUUUUCGGUUAGGGAUGGGCCCGCGGCCUAUCAGCUUGUUGGUGAGGUAGUGGCUCACCAAGGCGACGACGGGUAGCCGGCCUGAGAGGGCGACCGGCCACACUGGGACUGGGACACGGCCCAGACUCCUACGGGGGGCAGCAGUGGGGAAUAUUGCGCAAGGGGCGAAAGCCUGACGCAGCAACGCCGCGUGCGGGAUGAAGGCCUUCGGGUUGUAAACCGCUUUCAGCAGGGAAGAAGCGAAAGUGACGGUUCCUGCAGAAGAAGCACCGGCUAACUACGUGCCAGCAGCCGCAGUAA